Molecule: transfer RNA, 85 nt
Rfam family: tRNA
About the family: Transfer RNA (tRNA) molecules are approximately 80 nucleotides in length. Their secondary structure includes four short double-helical elements and three loops (D, anti-codon, and T loops). Further hydrogen bonds mediate the characteristic L-shaped molecular structure. tRNAs have two regions of fundamental functional importance: the anti-codon, which is responsible for specific mRNA codon recognition, and the 3' end, to which the tRNAs corresponding amino acid is attached (by aminoacyl-tRNA synthetases). tRNAs cope with the degeneracy of the genetic code in two manners: having more than one tRNA (with a specific anti-codon) for a particular amino acid; and 'wobble' base-pairing, i.e. permitting non-standard base-pairing at the 3rd anti-codon position.
GGGGAUGUGGUGAAAUUGGUAUACACGCAGUGUUCAGGUCGCUGUGCCUUCGGGCGUGAGAGUUCGACUCUCUCCAUCCCCACCA